Molecule: ribosomal RNA, 389 nt
Filed under: Lachnospiraceae bacterium
Lineage: Bacteria; Bacillati; Bacillota; Clostridia; Lachnospirales; Lachnospiraceae
Description: partial 23S ribosomal RNA
Rfam family: Bacterial large subunit ribosomal RNA
Source: RNAcentral
GCUCAUCGCAUCCUGGGGCUGUAGCAGGUCCCAAGGGUUGGGCUGUUCGCCCAUUAAAGCGGUACGCGAGCUGGGUUCAGAACGUCGUGAGACAGUUCGGUCCCUAUCCGGCGCAGGCGUAGGAUAUCUGAGAGGAGCUGUCCUUAGUACGAGAGGACCGGGAUGGACGGACCGCCGGUGUACCUGUUGGGUACCAGACCCAUGGCAGGGUAGCCGAGUCCGGCAGGGAUAAGCGCUGAAGGCAUCUAAGCGCGAAGCCCCCCUCAAGAUGAGAUAUCCCAUUCGAAUGAAGUAAGACCCCUUGAAGACUACGAGGUAGAUAGGUCCGGGGUGCAGGCGCAGCAAUGCGUACAGCUGACGGAUACUAAUAGGUCGAGGGCUUAACCUAA